AACGAACGCUGGCGGCAGGCUUAACACAUGCAAGUCGAACGGGCGUAGCAAUACGUCAGUGGCGGACGGGUGAGUAACACGUGGGAAUAUGCCUUUCGGUUCGGAACAACUCGGGGAAACCCGUGCUAAUUCCGGAUACGCCCUUACGGGGAAAGAUUUAUCGCCGAAAGAUUAGCCCGCGUUGGAUUAGCUAGUUGGUGAGGUAAAGGCGUCACCAAGGCGACGAUCCAUAGCUGGUUUGAGAGAACGACCAGCCACACUGGACUGAGACACGGCCCAGACUCCUACGGGAGGCAGCAGUGGGGAAUCUUGGACAAUGGGCGCAAGCCUGAUCCAGCCAUG
Molecule: ribosomal RNA, 342 nt
Filed under: uncultured bacterium
Lineage: Bacteria
Description: bacterial SSU rRNA
Rfam family: Bacterial small subunit ribosomal RNA
Source: RNAcentral